CAUGUCAAAUACCUUAAGCUCUCAACAAAACUCUUAAAAUAUAUCAGGUCAACUGUCACUCCAUUACUGUGCUUUGAUAAUUUGGUCCCACAUUCAACCAGUGUACAAACCGGCUUAUAAUACUCCAUCUUGAAUUUUUUCGGUAUCCCCUUCACAUAGGCCUCCUGGGGCAUAAAAAUGUCCUCUUUGCUUUACAUGAUUUCAAUCCCAAGGAAGUAUGACAUAAGUGUUGAGAAAAAUACUUCGAAUUCGACCCACAGGUGAAGCCCAUGC
RNAcentral lists this long non-coding RNA (273 nucleotides) under Elaeis guineensis (African oil palm). RNAcentral describes it as "long non-coding RNA (EGUI_LNC046335)". The record is from RNAcentral. Lineage: Eukaryota; Viridiplantae; Streptophyta; Magnoliopsida; Arecales; Arecaceae.